RNAcentral lists this transfer RNA (68 nucleotides) under Munidopsis verrilli. RNAcentral's name for it is "tRNA-Glu". It matches the Rfam family "tRNA". From Rfam's summary of the family: Transfer RNA (tRNA) molecules are approximately 80 nucleotides in length. Their secondary structure includes four short double-helical elements and three loops (D, anti-codon, and T loops). Lineage: Eukaryota; Metazoa; Arthropoda; Malacostraca; Decapoda; Munidopsidae. The record is from RNAcentral.
GUUUUUGUGGUGUAAUAAAACACAUUACACUUUCACUGUAAAAUCAAAGUCCAGCACUUUUAAAAACU